UGAGGAACAUGACCUUCGGCGGGGGAUAGCCGGCCCAACGGCCGGGUAAUACCGCGUACGACCACAUGGGGACAUCCCUGAGUGGUGAAAGCAGCAAUGCGCCGAUGGAGUGCCUCGCGGCCUAUCAGCUAGUUGGUGAGGUAACGGCUCACCAAGGCGACGACGGGUAGCUGGUCUGAGAGGAUGGCCAGCCACAGUUGGGACUGAGACACGGCCCAGACCUGUACGGGGA
This 232-nucleotide ribosomal RNA is filed under the name uncultured bacterium. RNAcentral's name for it is "partial 16S ribosomal RNA". It matches the Rfam family "Bacterial small subunit ribosomal RNA", at positions 118 to 347 of the family's 1533-position model. The record is from RNAcentral.